GAUGAACGCUAGCGGCAGGCUUAACACAUGCAAGUCGAGGGGUAGAGGAAGCUUGCUUCCUUGAGACCGGCGCACGGGUGCGUAACGCGUAUACAAUCUACCUUUUACAGAGGGAUAGCCCAGAGAAAUUUGGAUUAAUACCUCAUAGUAUUUUCGGAUCGCAUGAUUUGAUUAUUAAAGUUCCAACGGUAAAAGAUGAGUAUGCGUCCCAUUAGCUAGAUGGUAAGGUAACGGCUUACCAUGGCAAUGAUGGGUAGGGGUCCUGAGAGGGAGAGUCCCCCACACUGGUACUGAGACACGGACCAGACUCCUACGGGAGGCAGCAGUGAGAAUAUUGGACAAUGGGCGCAAGCCUGAUCCAGCCA
RNAcentral lists this ribosomal RNA (365 nucleotides) under uncultured bacterium. Its description in RNAcentral is "bacterial SSU rRNA". It matches the Rfam family "Bacterial small subunit ribosomal RNA", at positions 28 to 394 of the family's 1533-position model. The record is from RNAcentral.